GAUGAACGCUGGCGGCGUGCCUAACACAUGCAAGUCGAGCGGCAGCGAAGGGUGCUUGCACCCUGUCGGCGAGCGGCGGACGGCUGAGUAACGCGUGGGAACGUGCCCCAAAGUGAGGAAUAACUGCCCGAAAGGGUAGCUAAUACCGCAUAUUAUCUUCGGAUCAAAGGAUUUAUCCGCUUUGGGAGCGGCCCGCGUCGGAUUAGGUAGUUGGUGAGGUAAUGGCUCACCAAGCCGACGAUCCGUAGCUGGUCUGAGAGGAUGACCAGCCAGACUGGAACUGAGACACGGUCCAGACUCCUACGGGAGGCAGCAGUGAGGAAUCUUCCACAAUGGGCGAAAGCCUGAUGGAGCAACGCCGCGUGCA
Molecule: ribosomal RNA, 367 nt
Filed under: uncultured bacterium
Lineage: Bacteria
Description: bacterial SSU rRNA
Rfam family: Bacterial small subunit ribosomal RNA
Source: RNAcentral